Molecule: long non-coding RNA, 937 nt
Filed under: Elaeis guineensis (African oil palm)
Lineage: Eukaryota; Viridiplantae; Streptophyta; Magnoliopsida; Arecales; Arecaceae
Description: long non-coding RNA (EGUI_LNC010967)
Source: RNAcentral
GAUAAGGUGAAUGAAGUUGGGCAUCAUCAUGGUUACAUCAUUUCGACUCAUCUUGAGGUCAAACAAAUAAUUAUUUGUACAUCGUUUUAGGAUAUGUCAUCUUAUUUUUUGCUCCUAUUUUUCUAUUUUUUUAAAAAAAAAUUAUCUUAUUUUUUGAAAACCUUACAAGUAUGAUGGUGUCCCGUCCACGAAGAAGAUUUCAUCGUGAAAGACCUCAUGGUGAGAGUAUGGCAGUAAAAAGACUUCAAAAUAUAUCCGCAUUGCCGUUGAGCUCUUUCUAUCACAUCGGUAAAAAUUGAUAUUGACAUUGAACAGGGUUUAAUCAUGGUGCACUGAUAAGUGGAGGAGGUGAGAGUGAGGAAGCCCUUGCUGAGGUGAUCCGAUCCCAAUGGUUUUCUACCUUGAGAGCUCCGCGGUGCAGCGGAUCACAUCGUGGGACACGAGCACACGCGGUUGGUUACCAAGGCUAGCGGAUCCAAAUGGUUUUAUCGUGACAAGUAAAAAGGGUCGGGUGGCGUGUAUGACAGCGAUGGCGUCCGACAGGAUGCCGCACAGCCUCGUGGACCAACCGAAAGAGGACGCGUGUCGGUAGGAGGCAGCCGUUCGUCGCCCAUGGCCGGGGAGGUCUCUGUCGUGUAGCGUGGGUGCACGUGGCAGGCCGUGGGGGCAUUCGGGCACGCUGUCCCGGUCAACGUCUCCGCGGUUGGUGCCGGGUCCCGCUCGCCCUUCGUCUUCUUCUCGGUGAUGUCGGCCCACGCGGCACUCCCCGUUUUCAAGAUCUGGAGGGACUCAUCAGGAAGUCUCAAAGGGGGAUCUCAAAGGGUCCUUGGCUUGUUUAAGACUAGAUUCUCAUGAUUUUUACAUGAACGAAAAUUGCAUCACUACAAAAAUCACUUGAGCCAAUCUUUUGAGAGUUGAACUUUUUUUUUUAUGGUAG